This 388-nucleotide ribosomal RNA is filed under the name Bacillus sp. RR N12. RNAcentral describes it as "bacterial SSU rRNA". It matches the Rfam family "Bacterial small subunit ribosomal RNA", at positions 373 to 756 of the family's 1533-position model. The record is from RNAcentral. Lineage: Bacteria; Bacillati; Bacillota; Bacilli; Caryophanales; Bacillaceae.
GGACAAAAGUCUGACGGAGCAACGCCGCGUGAGUGAUGAAGGUUUUCGGAUCGUAAAACUCUGUUGUUAGGGAAGAACAAGUACAAGAGUAACUGCUUGUACCUUGACGGUACCUAACCAGAAAGCCACGGCUAACUACGUGCCAGCAGCCGCGGUAAUACGUAUGUGGCAAGCGUUGUCCGGAAUUAUUGGGCGUACAGCGCGCGCAGGCGGUCCUUUAAGUCUGAUGUGAAAGCCCACGGCUCAACCGUGGACGGUCAUUGAAAACUGGGGGACUUGAGUGCAGAAGAAAGAGUGGAAUUCCACGUGUAGCGGUGAAAUGCGUUAGAUGUGGAGGAACACCAGUGGCGAAGCUACUCUUUGGUCUGUAACUGACGCUGAAGCGCGA